GGACCUGACUGCUAUCGGAUUGAUACUAAGCCAUGCGAGUCAUUGUAGCAAUACAAGGCACACGGCUCAGUAACGCGUAGUCAACCUAACCUAUGGACGGGAAUAACCUCGGGAAACUGAGAAUAAUGCCCGAUGGAACAUUAUGCCUGGAAUGGUUUAUGUUCCAAAUGAUUUAUCGCCGUAGGAUGGGACUGCGGCCUAUCAGUUUGUUGGUGAGGUAAUGGCCCACCAAGACUAUUACAGGUACGGGCUCUGAGAGGAGUAGCCCGGAGAUGGGUACUGAGACACGGACCCAGGCCCUAUGGGGCGCAGCAGGCGAGAAAACUUUGCAAUGUGCGAAAGCACGACAAGGUUAAUCCGAGUGGUUUCUGCUAAAGAAACCUUUUGUCAGUCCUAGAAACACUGAUGAAUAAGGGGUGGGCAAGUUCUGGUGU
RNAcentral lists this ribosomal RNA (434 nucleotides) under uncultured archaeon. RNAcentral describes it as "bacterial SSU rRNA". It matches the Rfam family "Archaeal small subunit ribosomal RNA", at positions 19 to 458 of the family's 1478-position model. The record is from RNAcentral.